AACGAACGCUGGCGGCGCGCCUAAUACAUGCAAGUCGAACGAGAAGGUGUAGCAAUACACUUGUACAGUGGCGAACGGGUGAGGAAUGCAUGGGCAACCUACCCUCGAGUGGGGAACAACCAGCCGAAAGGUUGGCUAAUACCGCGUACGCUUCCGGGUCUCCGGAUCCGGAAGGAAAGUCACACCGUGGGUGUGACGCUCAAGGAUGGGCUCAUGUCCUAUCAGCNGUUGGUGAGGUAACGGCUCACCAAGGCAACGACGGGUAGCUGGUCUGAGAGGACGAUCAGCCACACUGGCACUGCGACACGGGGCCAGACUCCUACGGGAGGCAGCAGUAAGGAAUAUUGCGCAAUGGGCGAAAGCCUGACGCAGCGACGCCGCGUGGGGGAUGAAGGUCUUCGGAUUGUAAACCCCUUUUAGGAGGGAAAUGGGACGAGCAAUCGUUCGGACGGUACCUCCAGAAGCAGCCACGGCUAACUUCGUGCCAGCCGCCGCU
This 496-nucleotide ribosomal RNA is filed under the name uncultured bacterium. Its description in RNAcentral is "bacterial SSU rRNA". It matches the Rfam family "Bacterial small subunit ribosomal RNA", at positions 29 to 519 of the family's 1533-position model. The record is from RNAcentral.